Molecule: ribosomal RNA, 558 nt
Filed under: uncultured bacterium
Lineage: Bacteria
Description: partial 16S ribosomal RNA
Rfam family: Bacterial small subunit ribosomal RNA
Source: RNAcentral
UGGGGAAUUUUGGACAAUGGGCGAAAGCCUGAUCCAGCAAUGCCGCGUGUGUGAAGAAGGCCUUCGGGUUGUAAAGCACUUUUGUCCGGAAAGAAAUGGCUCUGGUUAAUACCUGGGGUCGAUGACGGUACCGGAAGAAUAAGGACCGGCUAACUACGUGCCAGCAGCCGCGGUAAUACGUAGGGUCCAAGCGUUAAUCGGAAUUACUGGGCGUAAAGCGUGCGCAGGCGGUUGUGCAAGACCGAUGUGAAAUCCCCGAGCUUAACUUGGGAAUUGCAUUGGUGACUGCACGGCUAGAGUGUGUCAGAGGGGGGUUAGAAUUCCACGUGUAGCAGUGAAAUGCGUAGAGAUGUGGAGGAAUACCGAUGGCGAAGGCAGCCCCCUGGGAUAACACUGACGCUCAUGCACGAAAGCGUGGGGAGCAAACAGGAUUAGAUACCCCUGGUAGUCCACGCCCUAAACGAUGUCAACUAGUUGUUGGGGGAUUCAUUUCCUUAGUAACGUAGCUAACGCGUGAAGUUGACCGCCUGGGGAGUACGGUCGCAAGAUUAAAAGCUC